Molecule: ribosomal RNA, 104 nt
Filed under: Periophthalmus magnuspinnatus
Lineage: Eukaryota; Metazoa; Chordata; Actinopteri; Gobiiformes; Gobiidae
Source: RNAcentral
AAUAUUACACAUACUUGCUUGGCAAUUCUGAUCAAAAGCUAAGCAGGGCCUGGCCUGGUUAGCACUUGGAUGGGAGACCACUGGGAAUACCAGAUGCCACAGUG